UGGGGAAUAUUGGACAAUGGGCGCAAGCCUGAUCCAGCAAUGCCGCGUGUAUGAAGAAGGCCUUCGGGUUGUAAAGCACUUUUAUCAGGAGCGAAACGCUGUCGGCUAAUACCCGGCGGAACUGACGGUACCUGAGGAAUAAGCACCGGCUAACUUCGUGCCAGCAGCCGCGGUAAUACGAAGGGUGCAAGCGUUAAUCGGAAUUACUGGGCGUAAAGCGUGCGUAGGCGGUUUCUUAAGUCUGCUGUGAAAUCCCCGGGCUCAACCUGGGAAUGGCAGUGGAUACUGGGAGGCUAGAGUGUGUCAGAGGGUGGUGGAAUUCCCGGUGUAGCGGUGAAAUGCGUAGAGAUCGGGAGGAACAUCAGUGGCGAAGGCGGCCACCUGGGACAACACUGACGCUGAGGCACGAAAGCGUGGGGAGCAAACAGGAUUAGAUACCCUGGUAGUCCACGCCCUAAAGCGAUGCGAACUGGAUGUUGGUCUCAACUCGGAGAUCAGUGUCGAAGCUAACGCGUUAAGUUCGCCGCCUGGGGAGU
RNAcentral lists this ribosomal RNA (536 nucleotides) under uncultured bacterium. Its description in RNAcentral is "partial 16S ribosomal RNA". It matches the Rfam family "Bacterial small subunit ribosomal RNA", at positions 355 to 881 of the family's 1533-position model. The record is from RNAcentral.